UGCCUACGGGGCGCAGCAGUGGGGAAUAUUGCACAAUGGGGGAAACCCUGACGCAGCGACGCCGCGUGAGUGAAGAAGUAAUUCGUUAUGUAAAGCUCUAUCAGCAGGGAAGAAAAUGACGGUACCUGAGUAAGAAGCCCCGGCUAACUCCGUGCCAGCAGCCGCGGUAAUACGGAGGAUGCGAGCGUUAUCCGGAUUUAUUGGGUUUAAAGGGUGCGUAGGCGGACUGGAAAGUCAGCGGUAAAAUCGAGAGGCUCAACCUCUUUCCGCCGUUGAAACUGUCGGUCUUGAGUGGGC
Molecule: ribosomal RNA, 297 nt
Filed under: uncultured bacterium
Lineage: Bacteria
Description: partial 16S ribosomal RNA
Rfam family: Bacterial small subunit ribosomal RNA
Source: RNAcentral